UACUUUCUGUUCUGUUUGGUCACGAUUUCCUUGCCUUUAGGAGACAGAGAUGGUCCAGAGGAGCAAAAACAAAACAGAUCUGCCGUAAAGUCAGCUGUCUGUCGUAAAGUUAACGCUCGUCUCCACAGAUGUUGACCCAGAAGAUGAUGAUGAACAAUCUUCCCAUUGCGGGAAACAUGUACAGGGAGGAAAAAGGGUCAAUCAUGAAUGCCACUUGUCGCUGCAGGACAUUGAAACUGACAUGUUUGGCAAAGAUGACGAUCAACGAUGACGAUGUCGUUUCAGAAGAGGGCCAAGUGAGUGUGGCAGUCGCGAGACAGCGGAGGGGAGGGUGAAGCGGUACAAGCAGAGGGACAGUGGCAGCCACCUAUUGCAGGCUUCUAUAAGUGUCUACAGGGCCCAUAAGUACAGAAGACGGAAAAAAACACGGUGGUGGUGAAGAAAACGGCUCAACCACGAAAUUGGAGAAUACAUGAAAGGUAUUGUGAUGGGAAGCACUGAAUAUGAACUCAGAGAAGGCCGUUCAGCUGGUCCCAGUAUCACUUCCCACGUUCAGCCUUUCAUCAUAGAAGCUUUUCUCAGGGUCCUUUGCACUGAUCGCCUGCAGUGGAAAAAGUGAUGUCAUUUGCCGUGGGCGAAAUAAGAGAAACAAAUAAAAGCAAAGGUGACCGCUCAAACGCUUCCCACACGACGGUUGGAAAUCGAAACACAAAUCAUGACGAGUACGAAGUUUAAUCAAACAGCAGCACAGUGGAGGAUGAUGGGAAGUCGAGACGAGUGCCAGCGUUGUGGUCGGUAAUUCCUGCCAUUUUCCAAAUUCAUCAUGAUGUUUCACCUACAAGCUGCUAAACAUUACAGUUUAAUGUUGUGUUUUUGUUAAGGAAACAGGGACCAGCUUGUACAACGCUAAGUAUCAUCUAUAGAAGUGUUGCAUCGCUGUCUGUGUUACGUGCUACUCGUUUUCAGUCUCAUUUGGUCAAAGACUGAUGUCUCGCUUCUGUGAAAUGCUGCAUUAUUUCCCCAGAACGUGUCCAAGCUGCAGUCAGAGAAGCUUCCAGCUAUUUGCGCCUGUAAACACUGAUCCUAUCGCAUGCGUGAGGCAGAGGCUCCCUUUCACUGCGUCUCGGCCCUGAAUUCCAGCCUGCAUCUCCAUGCGGUGCUCAGCGAUGCGCAGGAGGCGGACUCUCGCGUAAACACUCGCCGCCUGUGGUACACAAAGUCGAGCACAGAAAGGUGCACUGUACACAGUGCAGGGUUAUUUACGCAUCAGCUGUCAUAAAUACUGGCCGAGAGACGCAGGUGUAACACACACACACACACACACACACACACACACACACACACACACACACACACACACACACACACACACACACACACAGAUACGUGUAUACAAACAGAAACACGCAAGUGAGAGAUCCAAAGACCUGAUGUGACAAACAAAUUCAGGCCAAAUAUAUGAGAAAAAUGCAGUCACGGUUUGAGGCAAGACUUCCAUAAACGACCGGGUACUCUCAGAUUUGUCAAUCUGAAAUAUUCUGUUCUGGUUCUGAGCCAAAUGCACCACCAUCGUGAGCUGUCACCUGAAAGCAGCCAUUGCAUCCUGAGAUACAACUCACAUCAGCUUAAAGGUCAUCGCAUAAACUCGAAGAACUGAGCUGAGACGUUCACGUUAAAGAUUAGGCCAAAGCGAGUGGGGUGAUUCAAUGAGGACGGAGGAAAAAAAAUGUGCCGUGAAGCGAGCGACUCAAAGUCUGUGUGUGGUAUUCAUGCCCUCCUUUCCCUUUUACAAAGAAAGAAUGGGCGGAAUCAGAGGGGAUCAGAAGAAAGAGAAAGACAGGGACCGAGAGGUCGGGAGGAAAAAUGGGAACGACAAAGGGGGAAACAACGGAAGAAAAAGCAAGUUGAUGGAAGAAGAGAGACAGAAAAAAAAGAGAAAAAGAGCGAGCCGUGUUGAACGGCACUAUGCUUGAGCAGUCCCAUUGACUGACAAGAGAAGGACUGGAGGCCUAUUGUGGAAAUCCCAUUCCUCACUGUAUUGUCUGACCUUAUCACGGCGGGGUCAGUGGGAACAAUGGGAAUAACUCCCAUAAGUUUUCGUUUGGUCGUAGUCUUGUAGGUGUUGAUCAGUCACAAAAAACAAUUCAAAAUAAUUGCUUAUUUAUUUGGAUUCAGACAGCAGCAUCACUGACUCGCUUGCAGCUUGUCUGUUUAGUCUUAGUUUGUCAUACGGGUCAGAGGAUGCACACUAAUACAGAAACGGUGAUUUCCACCUGUGCAAUGGAAAGAAAGCGCCUCCUCAUGGGUCACCAGACGUUUCUUAUUCAUUAUCAGCUAAAGCCCAACAAAGCUCCGGCUCCGGCUCUCCAGCGGCCCCUCCGCUACCUCUCGCGCCUCUCUUCACGGAGAACAGAGCGGGGAAUCAAUCAGUUGCUGAAAAGGUUACGGUCUGAGCGAGGCCCGCAGCUCCUGCGUCUGCCGGGGGCACCUGAAGAGGGCCCAGCAUUUACUGGCAAAGCAAAGAGAGGUGGAAAAAACAUCAACAGGCCGCCCGAGGGCCGCGGGGUCCGUGCUGAGUGGUGGUGUAGGGCCCUUGGGGAGUUUGUCUUGUAAUUGAGUCAAUUGUUGACCCCCCGUUCAGCCCUGCUCGGGAGGAAAAGCCUGUCGAAUAAUUAACGUCCCCCUAUCCCUCUCUCCGUCUUCCCCUUCAACUAUCCAUCUCCCACUCCUCUUCACUUUCCCCCUCUCCUUCCUUGUUUUCUGUUGUCUCGCGGGAUAAUUGUACCGUGAGUCAAAGGCAGUCAUUUAGGGAGGGGGCACUGUUCAGGGAUCUGCUGAGGCUUACAAUCUUCUUUUCACCCAAAUCUUUCUUACCCUCCCAACACUCACCCUCGCUUCUCUCCUGCAUUCUCCCCCUUUUUCAUUCCUCCUUUUGUUUGCACCGUGGGAUGAAUUUUAAUCACUCCUCUCUCAAACUCGGAUCUGUGAUUCUUUUUCUCUCUUUCCCCCAAUAUGGCCACUCAAUCCCUCGUUCCAACUCGCAUUCAGGCCCAUUCGCUCCUCGCCAGUCCUCCACCGAUCGGGCCCUCGAAGCAUCUAGCAAGACACGGACACAGAUUUAGCUAUUUGAUGACGAGAGGAAGGGAGCGUUUGUCACUCCAGGUUUAGCCCCGGCCAAAUGUCUUCAACAGACGCGGGGCCAGAUGAGAAUUUAGAGAGAGAGGAAGGGAAAAAGGGCA
Long non-coding RNA from Betta splendens (Siamese fighting fish), 3239 nucleotides. RefSeq lists it as uncharacterized. Lineage: Eukaryota; Metazoa; Chordata; Actinopteri; Anabantiformes; Osphronemidae. The record is from RefSeq and is a predicted model, not a curated record. The transcript is spliced from 4 exons.